Molecule: ribosomal RNA, 112 nt
Filed under: Anseongella ginsenosidimutans
Lineage: Bacteria; Pseudomonadati; Bacteroidota; Sphingobacteriia; Sphingobacteriales; Sphingobacteriaceae
Source: RNAcentral
UCAGGUGCCUACAGCGGCGGUGUCCACCUCUUCCCAUCCCGAACAGAGAAGUUAAGCCCGCCUGCGCCGAUGGUACUGCGGUAACACGUGGGAGAGUAGGUCGGUGCCGGAU